This 520-nucleotide ribosomal RNA is filed under the name uncultured bacterium. Its description in RNAcentral is "bacterial SSU rRNA". It matches the Rfam family "Bacterial small subunit ribosomal RNA", at positions 120 to 674 of the family's 1533-position model. The record is from RNAcentral.
GGGAAUCUACCGUGCCCUGCGGAAUAGCUCCGGGAAACUGGAAUUAAUACCGCAUACGCCCUACGGGGGAAAGAUUUAUCGGGGUAUGAUGAGCCCGCGUUGGAUUAGCUAGUUGGUGGGGUAAAGGCCUACCAAGGCGACGAUCCAUAGCUGGUCUGAGAGGAUGAUCAGCCACAUUGGGACUGAGACACGGCCCAAACUCCUACGGGAGGCAGCAGUGGGGAAUAUUGGACAAUGGGCGCAAGCCUGAUCCAGCCAUGCCGCGUGAGUGAUGAAGGCCUUAGGGUUGUAAAGCUCUUUCACCGGUGAAGAUAAUGACGGUAACCGGAGAAGAAGCCCCGGCUAACUUCGUGCCAGCAGCCGCGGUAAUACGAAGGGGGCUAGCGUUGUUCGGAAUUACUGGGCGUGAAGCGCACGUAGGCGGAUAUUUAAGUCAGGGGUGAAAUCCCAGAGCUCAACUCUGGAACUGCCUUUGAUACUGGGUAUCUUGAGUAUGGAAGAGGUAAGUGGAAUUGCGAGU